UAUUAUAAUUUUGGCAGAACAUUGCAUUAGGUUUAGAACCUAAAUAAGUAAUCC
Molecule: transfer RNA, 54 nt
Filed under: Loxosceles foutadjalloni
Lineage: Eukaryota; Metazoa; Arthropoda; Arachnida; Araneae; Sicariidae
Description: tRNA-Leu
Source: RNAcentral